ACGGCUCAGUAACACGUGGGUAACCUGCCCUAUGCUGGAUAAUAACCUCGGGAAACUGAGAAUAAUGAUCCAUAGUUCACUACGCCUGGAACGGUGAGUGGAUGAAAGCUCCGGCGGCAUAGGAUGGGCCUGCGGCGUACCAGGUUGUAGGGGGUGUAACGUACCCUCUAGCCCUCUACGCGUACGGGUGUUGGGAGACAUAGCCCGGAGAUGGAUUCUGAGACACGAAUCCAGACCCUACGGGGUGCAGCAGGCGCGAAAACUUGGCAAUGCGAGAAAUCGUGACCAGGGAACUCCAAGUGCAUCGGGUAAGACCGGUGCUUUUCUUGACUCUAAAUAGGUCUUGGAAUAAGGGGUGGGUAAGGACGGUGCCAGCCGCCGCGGUAAUACCGGCGCCUCAAGUGGUAGUCGCUUUUAUUGGGCCUAAAACGUCCGUAGCCGGUCUGAUACAUUCGUGGGUAAAUCAACCAGCUUAACUGGUUGAAUUCUGCGAGGACGGUCAGACUUGGGACCGGGAGAGGUGUGGGGUACGCUCAGGGUAGGGGUAAAGUCCUGUCAUCCUGAGCGGACCACCUGUUGCGAAGGCGCCACACUAGAACGGAUCCGACGGUCAGGGACGAAGCCUAGGGGCACGAACCGGAUUAGAUACCCGGGUAGUCCUAGGUGUAAACGCUGUGGACUUGAUGUUGGGGGUGCUCCGAGCACUCUCAGUGUCGAAGCGAAGGUGAUAAGUCCACUGCCUGGGAAGUACGGUCGCAAGGCUGAAACUUAAAGGAAUUGGCGGGGGAGCAC
This 792-nucleotide ribosomal RNA is filed under the name uncultured archaeon. RNAcentral describes it as "bacterial SSU rRNA". It matches the Rfam family "Archaeal small subunit ribosomal RNA", at positions 85 to 879 of the family's 1478-position model. The record is from RNAcentral.